ACGCGAUGGCCGUAGUACCGGGCGGUCGCGGCCUUCGACGCCACCGUCAACUGCGUCAGGCGGCGGUUCCACUCCGCGAUCGCGUC
Molecule: transfer RNA, 86 nt
Filed under: Actinocatenispora rupis
Lineage: Bacteria; Bacillati; Actinomycetota; Actinomycetes; Micromonosporales; Micromonosporaceae
Description: tRNA-Arg
Source: RNAcentral